This 390-nucleotide ribosomal RNA is filed under the name Triticum aestivum (bread wheat). RNAcentral describes it as "partial small subunit ribosomal RNA". Lineage: Eukaryota; Viridiplantae; Streptophyta; Magnoliopsida; Poales; Poaceae. The record is from RNAcentral.
AUGAAGCGCUUUCUUCCUUGGCUGCUCGCUCAGUCCCGCACCAAGUUCGCCAAGACCAUGGAGGUGAGCUCUCAGUUCACCAGCAUUGAGGACAUGCAUAAAGAGGCAGACAAUGUGGUGUUGAAGCCGAUGAAGGAGUCGAAGACGAUGAUACCUAACCCAGUCAAAGGCAUUGUGCUAGUGGACAUACUACGCUGGGCAAUGGAUCAGGCCGAGUCCGGCGAUCCUGGUCAAAGAUCCAGAUGGGCCAAAUACAGGCUUGUUAGGCCUCCUUGUGCCCAACCGACCGUCGUGGUGGCGCCGCAGGACGACCACGAAGCGGUGGAGCUGGUGGUCAGGGUGACAUCCAGGCAAUCGUACAAUGCCCAUCAUUCUGGACGACGACGAUGA